GAUGAACGCUGGCGGCGUGCCUAAUACAUGCAAGUCGAGCGAACGGACGAGAAGCUUGCUUCUCUGAUGUUAGCGGCGGACGGGUGAGUAACACGUGGAUAACCUACCUAUAAGACUGGGAUACCUUCGGGAAACCGGAGCUAAUCCCGGAUAAUAUUUUGAACCGCAUGGUUCAAAAGUGAAAGACGGUCUUGCUGUCACUUAUAGAUGGAUCCGCGAUGCAUUAGCUAGUUGGUAAGGUAACGGCUUACCAAGGCAACGAUGCAUAGCCGACCUGAGAGGGUGAUCGGCCACACUGGAACUGAGACACGGUCCAGACUCCUACGGGAGGCAGCAGUAGGGAAUCUUCCGCAAUGGGCGAAAGCCUGACGGAGCAACGCCGCGUGAGUGAUGAAGGUCUUCGGAUCGUAAAACUCUGUUAUUAGGGAAGAACAUAUGUGUAAGUAACUGUGCACAUCUUGACGGUACCUAAUCAGAAAGCCACGGCUAACUACGUG
Molecule: ribosomal RNA, 497 nt
Filed under: uncultured bacterium
Lineage: Bacteria
Description: partial 16S ribosomal RNA
Rfam family: Bacterial small subunit ribosomal RNA
Source: RNAcentral